Molecule: transfer RNA, 62 nt
Filed under: Hyalella sp. 2015-x
Lineage: Eukaryota; Metazoa; Arthropoda; Malacostraca; Amphipoda; Hyalellidae
Description: tRNA-His
Source: RNAcentral
GUUUUAAUAGUUUAUACAAAACGCUAUUUUGUGGAAAUAGAGAUAUAGCUUUAUUUAAAACA